GAUGAACGCUGGCGGCGUGCCUAAUACAUGCAAGUCGAGCGAACGGACGAGAAGCUUGCUUCUCUGAUGUUAGCGGCGGACGGGUGAGUAACACGUGGAUAACCUACCUAUAAGACUGGGAUAACUUCGGGAAACCGGAGCUAAUACCGGAUAAUAUUUUGAACCGCAUGGUUCAAAAGUUAAAGACGGUCUUGCUGUCACUUAUAGAUGGAUCCGCGCUGCAUUAGCUAGUUGGUAAGGUAACGGCUUACCAAGGCAACGAUGCAUAGCCGACCUGAGAGGGUGAUCGGCCACACUGGAACUGAGACACGGUCCAGACUCCUACGGGAGGCAGCAGUAGGGAAUCUUCCGCAAUGGGCGAAAGCCUGACGGAGCAACGCCGCGUGAGUGAUGAAGGUCUUCGGAUCGUAAAACUCUGUCAUUAGGGAAGAACAUAUGUGUAAGUAACUGUGCACAUCUUGACGGUACCUAAUCAGAAAGCCACGGCUAACUACGUG
RNAcentral lists this ribosomal RNA (497 nucleotides) under uncultured bacterium. Its description in RNAcentral is "partial 16S ribosomal RNA". It matches the Rfam family "Bacterial small subunit ribosomal RNA", at positions 28 to 507 of the family's 1533-position model. The record is from RNAcentral.